Molecule: unclassified non-coding RNA, 369 nt
Filed under: fungal sp.
Lineage: Eukaryota; Fungi
Description: partial internal transcribed spacer region
Rfam family: Eukaryotic small subunit ribosomal RNA (bases 1-46)
Source: RNAcentral
AAGUCGUAACAAGGUUUCCGUAGGUGAACCUGCGGAAGGAUCAUUAACCCUGUGAACUUUCAGCGCUCUUGUAGCCCUAGAGGAACAGCAAUCCCGGUAAAUCAAAUGGCGGAAAGAGUUUUGAUUCGGGACCUCUGUCCAAAAGGUAUCAAGUUACAAUCGAGCAGAGCAGUGGCAUGGUUUCCCUAAGCAGUGCAGAAGGAUCCACUGAGUAAGGAUAACGCAUCACGGUUGCCAGAGGUCGAUCACCGGCCGGCAGACAUGUCACAGGGCUUUACGCCCCUUCAUUCACCCCUUGCCUAAUCAAGCCUCGCGGAAACGCCGGGCAUAAAAACCGAACAACUGUUAACAAUGGAUAUCUUGGUUCUC